UACGUAGGUGGCAAGCGUUGUCCGGAAUUACUGGGCGUAAAGGGUGCGUAGGCGGUCUUUUAAGUCAGAGGUGAAAGGCUACGGCUCAACCGUAGUAAGCCUUUGAAACUGAAAGACUUGAGUGCAGGAGAGGAGAGUGGAAUUCCCAGUGUAGCGGUGAAAUGCGUAGAUAUUGGGAGGAACACCAGUUGCGAAGGCGGCUCUCUGGACUGUAACUGACGCUGAGGCACGAAAGCGUGGGGAGCGAACAGG
RNAcentral lists this ribosomal RNA (252 nucleotides) under uncultured bacterium. Its description in RNAcentral is "partial 16S ribosomal RNA". It matches the Rfam family "Bacterial small subunit ribosomal RNA", at positions 524 to 776 of the family's 1533-position model. The record is from RNAcentral.